CACCCUAGUACCAGGCAAUUCUNUAUAAUUAUAGAACCUUUUAUGUUAAAACUAGUAACAAGAAGAACCCCCUUCUCUUUNAUGCAAGCAUAAGUNAGUUAGGACCAACCGCUGACAAUUAACAUCCAUGAGUUCANAGUAAAAACACUACAAGAAAACCCUACUACACCUUAUGUUAAUCUAACACAAGAGCAUUACAAGAAAGAUUUAAAGAAAAAGAAGGAACUCGGCAAACAUUAACCCCGCCUGUUUACCAAAAACAUCGCCUCUUGAUAAACCUAUAAGAGGUCCAGCCUGCCCAGUGACUCUGUUCAACGGCCGCGGUAUCCUAACCGUGCGAAGGUAGCGUAAUCACUUGUUCUUUAAAUGAGGACUAGUAUGAAUGGCACCACGAGGGUUAUACUGUCUCCUUUUUCUAAUCAGUGAAACUAAUCUUCCCGUGAAGAGGCGGGAAUAAGAAUAUAAGACGAGAAGACCCUAUGGAGCUUUAAACAAACAUACAAUUGCCUCUUCUCAUAAAAAUUCCAGAAAAAACACUUCUAUUUAGGCACUUUGAUAUAAAGUUUUAGGUUGGGGUGACCCCGGGGUAAAAAACAACCUCCGCAGUGAAAGGGACUUUUUCCCUAAACCAAGGGCCACGCCCCUAAGAAUCAAUAAAUUGACACUAAUUGNCCCAAUUAAUUGAUCAAUGAACCAAGUUACCCUAGGGAUAACAGCGCAAUCCACUUCAAGAGCCCCUAUCGACAAGUGGGUUUACGNCCUCGAUGUUGGAUCAGGGUAUCCUAGUGGUGCAGCCGCUACUAAUGGUUCGUUUGUUCAACGAUU
Molecule: ribosomal RNA, 825 nt
Filed under: Leptodactylus notoaktites
Lineage: Eukaryota; Metazoa; Chordata; Amphibia; Anura; Leptodactylidae
Description: partial 16S ribosomal RNA
Rfam family: Bacterial large subunit ribosomal RNA
Source: RNAcentral